This 497-nucleotide ribosomal RNA is filed under the name uncultured bacterium. RNAcentral's name for it is "partial 16S ribosomal RNA". It matches the Rfam family "Bacterial small subunit ribosomal RNA", at positions 28 to 507 of the family's 1533-position model. The record is from RNAcentral.
GAUGAACGCUGGCGGCGUGCCUAAUACAUGCAAGUCGAGCGAACGGACGAGAAGCUUGCUUCUCUGAUGUUAGCGGCGGACGGGUGAGUAACACGUGGAUAACCUACCUAUAAGACUGGGAUAACUUCGGGAAACCGGAGCUAAUACCGGAUAAUAUUUAGAACCGCAUGGUUCAAAAGUGAAAGACGGUCUUGCUGUCACUUAUAGAUGGAUCCGCGCUGCAUUAGCUAGUUGGUAAGGUAACGGCUUACCAAGGCAACGAUGCAUAGCCGACCUGAGAGGGUGAUCGGCCACACUGGAACUGAGACACGGUCCAGACUCCUACGGGAGGCAGCAGUAGGGAAUCUUCCGCAAUGGGCGAAAGCCUGACGGAGCAACGCCGCGUGAAUGAUGAAGGUCUUCGGAUCGUAAAACUCUGUUAUUAGGGAAGAACAUAUGUGUAAGUAACUGUGCACAUCUUGACGGUACCUAAUCAGAAAGCCACGGCUAACUACGUG